Molecule: non-coding RNA, 24 nt
Filed under: Drosophila melanogaster (fruit fly)
Lineage: Eukaryota; Metazoa; Arthropoda; Insecta; Diptera; Drosophilidae
Source: RNAcentral
GUUUUCGGGAUAGGUCGGUAGCAC